RNAcentral lists this ribosomal RNA (254 nucleotides) under uncultured bacterium. RNAcentral's name for it is "partial 16S ribosomal RNA". It matches the Rfam family "Bacterial small subunit ribosomal RNA", at positions 524 to 776 of the family's 1533-position model. The record is from RNAcentral.
UACGGAGGGUGCGAGCGUUGUCCGGAAUCACUGGGCGUAAAGGGCGCGUAGGUGGCCACUAUAAGGACGCGGUGAAAGUCCGGAGCUCAACUCCGGAUCUGCCGCGUCGACUGUAGGGCUAGGGCACUGUAGAGGCAGAUGGAAUUCCGGGUGUAGCGGUGGAAUGCGUAGAGAUCCGGAAGAACACCAGUGGCGAAGGCGGCCAGCUGGGCCGGGUCCGACGCUGAGGCGCGAAAGCGUGGGGAGCAAACAGG